CUGCAGCAACCCUCUCAAAUGUACAGCAAGUGAGGCAGGGUAGCUUACGUGUUCGUCAAAAACCCCACAUGGAUGGAGAUCUAAGGCAGCCUAUACAAAAGCAAAAUGAGACGAACAUUGAAAAUCCCAUGCAAAAUAUUAAUAUUGAUAGCAAAAUUAGUGACAACCAAAGUGUGACAAGUGAAAAGGACAGCUCAAUUAGUUCAAGAGCCACUGCCAACCCAAGGACCACAGAAUCCUGUGGUUCAUCAGCAGAGACAAAAAGGUCAGAGAUUGGCGACUGAAAACGGGUCUUGGUGAGUACCGAGGAGGGAAUGUUUGGGAAUAAAUGAUGAGGAAGAGACAAAAAGAAAAGGUCAAGAGACAGACAUACAGACAGACAGACAGACAGAUAGAGAUAGAAAGGCAGAAAGAAAGAGCCAGAGACUAAAAAAGAUAUGUAGGAAGAAUCGAAAGACAGUGGAGAGAAAGAGGGAGGAUGGACAGGCAAAGUAUAAAAUAGAGAGAGAUGAGAGGGAGACAGAGACAGAGACAGAGAAAAAGAGAGAAAGAAGGAGAGAGAGAGAGAGAGAGAGAGAAUGCUGGUGGUACUUUUUUCGAAGGAGUUGGUAUGUUGCUAAAUGAGGGACCCCGGGUGUGUCUGUAUAUGUAUGCUAUAUGCUUGUAUGGAUUAAAUUAUCUGUUAUUGAAUAUGUGUUUGCGUAUGGAAGUGUUGUGUUUUAACUGUGCUUUCUUGCGAAUGCUGUAGAAUGUUAUUUUUUAUGUGUGUUGGAAUGUGGAAUGUGUUUGUGUAUGUGAGUGUUUGCUUGUGUGCGGAUGCGUGCUUGUGCAUGCGAGAGUGUUUGCCUUCAUGUUGAACAUACACCUGUCGAACCGCCGGGUCAAGAAGGUACUCAGCGAGGCAUUUAUGUGUUCCGGGAAUGAACUCGGGGGAGGAAGGGGAGAGGUAGGGUAGGGUGGUGGAAGGUUGUCGAGUGCCACAGAGUGCCAGGGAUGAUAAGGUAGGGAUAAAUAAACAAGGUUGUGUUGUGACCCUGAGGCCCGGAUGUAGGUAGAAAAGACAUGGAAGGAUAAGGCUAAUUUACCCGCAGAAUUAAGAUUCGGAUGUAGGAUUAAUAGAGAUGGUCUUUAUAUAUAUGUAUCUGUUUCUCUCUCUCUCUUUUUCCCUCUUUCUCUUUCUCUCACUCUCUCUCUCUUUCUCUGCCUUUCUCGCUCGCUCUCCCUCCCUCUCUCCCUCUC
Molecule: long non-coding RNA, 1239 nt
Filed under: Penaeus japonicus
Lineage: Eukaryota; Metazoa; Arthropoda; Malacostraca; Decapoda; Penaeidae
Description: uncharacterized LOC122246299
Source: RNAcentral